RNAcentral lists this ribosomal RNA (497 nucleotides) under uncultured bacterium. Its description in RNAcentral is "partial 16S ribosomal RNA". It matches the Rfam family "Bacterial small subunit ribosomal RNA", at positions 28 to 507 of the family's 1533-position model. The record is from RNAcentral.
GAUGAACGCUGGCGGCGUGCCUAAUACAUGCAAGUCGAGCGAACGGACGAGAAGCUUGCUUCUCUGAUGUUAGCGGCGGACGGGUGAGUAACACGUGGAUAACCUACCUAUAAGACUGGGAUAACUUCGGGAAACCGGAGCUAAUACCGGAUGAUAUUUUGAACCGCAUGGUUCAAAAGUGAAAGACGGUCUUGCUGUCACUUAUAGAUGGAUCCGCGCUGCAUUAGCUAGUUGGUAAGGUAACGGCUUACCAAGGCAACGAUGCAUAGCCGACCUGAGAGGGUGAUCGGCCACACUGGAACUGUGACACGGUCCAGACUCCUACGGGAGGCAGCAGUAGGGAAUCUUCCGCAAUGGGCGAAAGCCUGACGGAGCAACGCCGCGUGAGUGAUGAAGGUCUUCGGAUCGUAAAACUCUGUUAUUAGGGAAGAACAUACGUGUAAGUAACUGUGCACAUCUUGACGGUACCUAAUCAGAAAGCCACGGCUAACUACGUG